AAUAAUCUCGAUGUUUAAAUUUUAUUCUAAUGUUAACCAUGUAAAUUUACUACUGGAUUUUGAAUACUUUACUUCCAUGAAUAGUUUCUUCAUAGUAUAUUUUCCUCUGCCUUAAAUUUGGCCAUUUUGCCCUGACUAUGACCUGUCUUGUUUAAGCCUAACUGGCUAACAAAUGCAGAGCGAACCUCAAAAGGAGAGCAUUGUUUUCACUUUUAAAUAACCUUCUUCAGGGAUUUUCAAACUGUGCUCUAGGGUCCUAGGGGCUCUUUGAAGAUGCCUCUCUAGCCUGUCCGGGAAGGACACAGCAGAGUAGGUGGGGCCCUGGGCCUUCAGCUAAACCUCAACUACAGCAGCUUCACUUUUAUCUUAUUUGUUAGGCUUUCAGGGUUUUGUGCUUAAAAAAAAUUUUUUUAACCAUUAAUUUAAAAACACUCAUGAAUGAUAAUAAUAAUAGUAGCUUUUCUUUAUAGAGCACAUAUCUUGUCCCAGACCCCGCUUUAAAUAUUAAAAAUAUUUAAAUAUUUUUUUAAAAAUCCCUCUAAAAUGUGCUUUCAUCAUCCCUGUUUUACAAAUUAAGAAACUGAGACUUAAGGAAAUAAGCAAUUUACCCACAGCGUCAUAGCUACUAAGUGACAGAUUCUGAAUUCAAAUUUGGGUGCGUCAAUUAAUGUAUUAGUUUAAGCCAGGAAUGACAAAUACAGGGUAAGUGUACCCUCACCCCAUAUUCCCACACCUGAGGCAGACAGGACUAAUGGAUGAAAACAGUCUUUUUUGCUAAUCACCAACACAGCCUUAGAAUCUUUCUCAGCAAGGUGCUAUGGGCCGUCAGUCCAAAUCUAUUGGUUGUGGCAUUAAAUGAGGCCUAUUUACUUCCCCUACUUUAAGGUGAGAUAUUUGUGGCCCCACACUUCAGAAUAGGAAGUCUCUUCAGCCCUAAAAGUGUUUGCCAGUUGAUUGUUUUGAUAUUACUAGAAAAACACCAAAUUAUCUUUGAUCCUAGAUGUACUUUAUCAUAAUGAAGUUUUCUGUGAACUAAAAUCCCUAACUGUAUCAUCUUCAUUCUGACCACCUUCUAAUACAGAAGUUUUGUUUCUGUAUUUAUAUAUUUGUAAUCUGUAUAAUUUAUACAUUGAUAAUUAUAAACACCAUACAGUCCUCAUAAUCAGGAUCAGUACGGGUUUUUAAAAAACAAAAAAACAUUCACUUUGAGUAGCCUAGUGGAAUAAAGACCUAAAGUAAUUUAUAUUCUGAGACCUAAUAUUUUAGCUGUGGAGUGGAGGUGGUGAGGGAGAGGAUGGAGAACUCAUGCUUGGGGUAAGUCAGCCAGUUUCCAUAUAGCUGAGAAUUUAGUGGUUUGAAUAACCUUCACUGUUUCCACUACCAGCAUGCCCUGCCCAAGAAUGUCAUAGCCACAGGGCUGGGUGAAUGCCCAAACAUUUUAAAAAAGGAGUAUACACAACCAACCCCCAGCUGAUUUUUUCAACUGCUCUUGCCAGGAGGGAACCAGUAGUUCCUGGGCUGUACCCAUUCUUACCAGGGAGAGCUGGGUGCAAUUAAAGUUUUUCCUGUUAGGUGCAAGACUUUUUGAAUGACUCAUCAUAGUUCCUGCUUAAGACGUGUCAAAGAGGCCCAAGGCUAUAUUUAGGAACUUACUAUGAAAUUGCCUGUCAGUUCCAACCAAUUUUUCCAAUAUAGUAUAUAUGAAGAGUUAGUAGCAAGUAACUUUAAAUACAUGAAAAGGUUUUUGUUGUCAUUUUUUGUUGUUGCUGUAAACUGGUAUUGAAGAUUUUCUUAAACGGAUGGACAUUCCUUUCAUUGUGAAAUGAUUUAACACCCAUUCAGCAUACACAUGACUAUACUGGAAUGACCCUCAUAUGACCAUUGUCAUGGAACCCAUUAAAUUCUUGUUUAAAAAAAGUUUGAAUAUGUCUUAAAAUGUCUUCUAUAUGAAUAAAAAGGAUCUUCCUAAAAGCUCUUUCUGAUGCACUUUUUUUUCUUUUUUUUUUUGAGACGGAGUUUCGCUCUUGUUACCCAGGCUGGAAUGCAGUGGCACAAUCUCGGCUCACUGCAACCUCUGCCUCCUAGGUUCAAGCGAUUCUCCUGCCUCAGCCUCCCGAUUAGCUGGGAUUACAGGCAUGCGCCACCACGCCUGACUAAUUUUGUAUUUUUAGUAGAGACGGGGUUUCUCCAGGUUGGUCAGGCUGGUCUCGAACUCCCGACCUCAGGUGAUCCGCCUGCCUCAGCCUCCCAAAGUGCUGGGAUUACAGGCGUGAGCCCGUAUCAGAGGCGCCUGGCCUCUGAUGCACUCUUGAGUAUUUUUGUAAAAUUAGAGAUUGUUGGACAGUGCUAAGGAGAAUGAAUUAUAGUGAUUGGGUCCAGUGACACUUGGAUAGUGCUACUAAGUAUGAAAUUAUUUUAAGAGAGUUUAAAGAACGACCUCCUGCUGAUGAGAGUGUUGGAAAGUUGGUUGCUGUGUAAGGUCAGCUACACAUGCCUCCUGGUUUUUGCUUUUGUUGAAUAAGAGAAAAGAGAGUAGCCAAUUGUAAGUGGUCGUAUUCCUAGUUGAUCAGGGCUUGCUAAAAAAAAGACAGUCGAAGCCGUUGAUUCCAUUACCGUACAUAUAAGAGUUUUAACCAGGAUUAGUAGCCCACAUGAAGUAGAAAUAGAAAGGCCAACCAAAGAACUAGUGAUUCUAAGGUAAAAUUUCCAGAAAUGUGGAAAAGAACACUUGAGAUUGGAGAUGGUACCAGUUUUAUAUAAAUGGUGAUUGAUAGCUGUUAAGGUUUGAUGAGAAAGGUUCACGUAUGUCUGUUUCUUUCACAAGUUUGUUCCCCUGAUACUUCUUUCUUUUUUUUUUCUGAGACAGUCUCGCUGUGUCACCCAGGCUAGAGUGCAGUGGCACAAUCUCGGCUCACUGCAACCUCCACCUCCUGGGUUCAAGGGAUUCUCCUGCCUCAGCCUCCCAAGUAGCUGGGACUACAGGCGCCCACCAUCAUGCCCAGCUAAUUUUUGUAUUUUUAGUAGAGACGGGGUUUCACUAUGUUGGCCAGGCUGGUCUUGAACUCCUGACCUCGUGAUCUGCCCGCCUCAGCCUCCCAAAGUGCUGGGAUUACAGGCAUGAGCCACUGCACCCGGCCUGUUCCCCUGAUAUUUCUAAGUCACUGUUUAUUAAAGCAUGUAAGCCUAAGCAUAAAAGUUAAUUUUUUUUUUAAGAGACAGGGUCUUGCUCUGUCACCUAGACUAUAGUGCAGUGGCGCCAUCACAGCUCACUGCAGCCUCAAACUCCUGAGCUCAAGCGAUCCUCCAGCCUUAGCCUGUGAGUAGCUGGAACUAUAGGCACACACCAUCAUGUCCAGCUAAGUUUUUUUAGUUUUUUAGG
This 3379-nucleotide long non-coding RNA is filed under the name Homo sapiens (human). RNAcentral describes it as "HSALNT0139344". The record is from RNAcentral. Lineage: Eukaryota; Metazoa; Chordata; Mammalia; Primates; Hominidae.